RNAcentral lists this ribosomal RNA (424 nucleotides) under uncultured bacterium. Its description in RNAcentral is "bacterial SSU rRNA". It matches the Rfam family "Bacterial small subunit ribosomal RNA", at positions 355 to 796 of the family's 1533-position model. The record is from RNAcentral.
UGGGGAAUAUUGGACAAUGGGCGAAAGCCUGAUCCAGCAAUGCCGCGUGGAUGAAGAAGGUCUUCGGAUUGUAAAGUCCUUUCGGCGGGGACGAUGAUGACGGUACCCGCAGAAGAAGCCCCGGCUAACUUCGUGCCAGCAGCCGCGGUAAUACGAAGGGGGCUAGCGUUGCUCGGAAUGACUGGGCGUAAAGGGCGCGUAGGCGGUUUGGACAGUUGGGCGUGAAAUUCCCGGGCUUAACCCGGGGACUGCGCUCGAUACAUCCAGGCUUGAGUGAGGAAGAGGGUCGUGGAAUUCCCAGUGUAGAGGUGAAAUUCGUAGAUAUUGGGAAGAACACCGGUGGCGAAGGCGGCGACCUGGUCCUUUACUGACGCUGAGGCGCGAAAGCGUGGGGAGCAAACAGGAUUAGAUACCCCCGUAGUCC